This 1091-nucleotide long non-coding RNA is filed under the name Homo sapiens (human). RNAcentral's name for it is "HSALNT0358332". The record is from RNAcentral. Lineage: Eukaryota; Metazoa; Chordata; Mammalia; Primates; Hominidae.
GUCAUUUUUCAGAAGAACCCAGCUUGCUUUGGAACUACAGUCAGCCCUGCAACCCACCCUCACCUUGGACCCUGCUGCUGCUGUCUGUAAAGGGUCUGGAUGAAGGAAGGGAGCCUCCAGCUUGUCGGCUGUACUUGCCCAGAAUUUAGCCUUUGCAACAUGGAGCUGCGGGGAUGGGAAAUGUUGUCCACUAGCCUUCCGUAGACAAUGCUGCGAUGAAUACACCUGUGCAUUCUUUUUUAGAACAAGUGUAAGAAUUCCUAUGUGGCUGGACGGUACUGCUGCCAUCUCGGCUCACUGCAACCUCCCUGCCUGAUUCUCCUGCCUCAGCCUGCCGAGUGCCUGCGAUUGCAGGCGCGCACCGCCACGCCUGACUGGUUUUCGUUUUUUUUUGGUGGAGACGGGGUUUCGCUGUGUUGGCCGGGCUGGUCUCCAGCUCCUAGCCGCGAGUGAUCCGCCAGCCUCGGCCUCCCGAGGUGCCGGGAUUGCAGAUGGAGUCUCGUUCACUCAGUGCUCAAUGGUGCCCAGGCUGGAGUGCAGUGGCGUGAUCUCGGCUCGCUGCAACCACCUCCCAGCCGCCUGCCUUGGCCUCCCGGAGAGCCGAGAUUGCAGCCUCUGCCCGGCCGCCACCCCGUCUGGGAAGUGAGGAGCGUCUCUGCUUGGCCACCCAUCGUCUGGGAUGUGAGGAGCCCCUCUGCCUGGCUGCCCAGUCUGGAAAGUGAGGAGCGUCUCUGCCCGGCCGCCAUCCCAUCUGGGAAGCGAGGAGCGCCUCUUCCCCGCCGCCAUCCCAUCUAGGAAGUGAGGAGCGUCUCUGCCCGGCCGCCCAUCGUCUGAGAUGUGGGGAGCACCUCUGCCCCGCCGCCCUGUCUGGGAUGUGAGGAGCGCCUCUGCUGGGCCGCAGCCCUGUCUGGGAGGUGGGGAGCGUCUCUGCCCGGCCGCUCCGUCUGAGAAGUGAGGAAACCCUCUGCCUGGCAACCGCCCCGUCUGAGAAGUGAGGAGCCCCUCCGUCCGGCAACCACCCCGUCUGGGAAGUGAGGAGCGUCUCCGCCCAGCAGCCACCCCGCCCGGGAGGGAGGUGGGGGGGACAGCCC